AGAGUUUGAUCCUGGCUCAGGACGAACGCUGGCGGCGUGCCUAAUACAUGCAAGUCGAGCGGACAGAUGGGAGCUUGCUCCCUGAUGUUAGCGGCGGACGGGUGAGUAACACGUGGGUAACCUGCCUGUAAGACUGGGAUAACUCCGGGAAACCGGGGCUAAUACCGGAUGCUUGUUUGAACCGCAUGGUUCAAACAUAAAAGGUGGCUUCGGCUACCACUUACAGAUGGACCCGCGGCGCAUUAGCUAGUUGGUGAGGUAACGGCUCACCAAGGCAACGAUGCGUAGCCGACCUGAGAGGGUGAUCGGCCACACUGGGACUGAGACACGGCCCAGACUCCUACGGGAGGCAGCAGUAGGGAAUCUUCCGCAAUGGACGAAAGUCUGACGGAGCAACGCCGCGUGAGUGAUGAAGGUUUUCGGAUCGUAAAGCUCUGUUGUUAGGGAAGAACAAGUACCGUUCGAAUAGGGCGGUACCUUGACGGUACCUAACCAGAAAGCCACGGCUAACUACGUGCCAGCAGCCGCGGUAAUACGUAGGUGGCAAGCGUUGUCCGGAAUUAUUGGGCGUAAAGGGCUCGCAGGCGGUUUCUUAAGUCUGAUGUGAAAGCCCCCGGCUCAACCGGGGAGGGUCAUUGGAAACUGGGGAACUUGAGUGCAGAAGAGGAGAGUGGAAUUCCACGUGUAGCGGUGAAAUGCGUAGAGAUGUGGAGGAACACCAGUGGCGAAGGCGACUCUCUGGUCUGUAACUGACGCUGAGGAGCGAAAGCGUGGGGAGCGAACAGGAUUAGAUACCCUGGUAGUCCACGCCGUAAACGAUGAGUGCUAAGUGUUAGGGGGGUUUCCGCCCCUUUACUGCUGCAGCUAACGCAUUAAGCACUCCCGCCUGGGGGAGUACGGUCGCAAGACUGAAACUCAAAGGAAUUGACGGGGGCCCGCACAAGCCGGUGGAGCAUGUGGUUUAAUUCGAAGCAACGCGAAGAACCUUACCAGGUCUUGACAUCCUCUGACAAUCCUAGAGCAUAGGACGUCCCCCUUCGGGGGCAGAGCUGACAGGGUGGGUGCCAUGGGUUGUUCGUCAGCUCGUGUCGUGAGAUGUUGGGUUAAGUCCCGCAACGAGCGCAACCCUUGAUCUUAGUUGCCAGCAUUCAGUUGGGCACUCUAAGGUGACUGCCGGUGACAAACCGGAGGAAGGUGGGGAUGACGUCAAAUCAUCAUGCCCCUUAUGACCUGGGCUACACACGUGCUACAAUGGACAGAACAAAGGGCAGCGAAACCGCGAGGUUAAGCCAAUCCCACAAAUCUGUUCUCAGUUCGGAUCGCAGUCUGCAACUCGACUGCGUGAAGCUGGAAUCGCUAGUAAUCGCGGAUCAGCAUGCCGCGGUGAAUACGUUCCCGGGCCUUGUACACACCGCCCGUCACACCACGAGAGUUUGUAACACCCGAAGUCGGUGAGGUAACCUUUUAGGAGCCAGCCGCCGAAGGUGGGACAGAUGAUUGGGGUGAAGUCGUAACAAGGUAACC
This 1524-nucleotide ribosomal RNA is filed under the name Bacillus sp. SSMIX 023. RNAcentral's name for it is "16S ribosomal RNA". It matches the Rfam family "Bacterial small subunit ribosomal RNA". Lineage: Bacteria; Bacillati; Bacillota; Bacilli; Caryophanales; Bacillaceae. The record is from RNAcentral.